GACGAAUGCUGGCUGCGUGCUUAACACAUGCAAGUCGAACGGUGAAGGGGAGCUUGCUCCCCGGAUCAGUGGCGAACGGGUGAGUAACACGUGGGCAACCUGCCCCUCACUCUGGGAUAACUCCGGGAAACCGGGGCUAAUACCGGAUACGACCGGGAGCGGCAUCGCUCCUGGUGGAAAGAACUUCGGUGAGGGAUGGGCCCGCGGCCUAUCAGCUAGUUGGUGGGGUAACGGCCCACCAAGGCGACGACGGGUAGCCGGCCUGAGAGGGCGACCGGCCACACUGGGACUGAGACACGGCCCAGACUCCUACGGGAGGCAGCAGUGGGGAAUAUUGCGCAAUGGGCGAAAGCCUGACGCAGCGACGCAGCGUGAGGGACGAAGGCCUUCGGGUCGUAAACCUCUUUCAGCGGGGACGAAGCGAAAGUGACGGUACCCGCAGAAGAAGCACCGGCUAACUACGUGCCAGCAGCCGCGGUAA
Molecule: ribosomal RNA, 481 nt
Filed under: uncultured bacterium
Lineage: Bacteria
Description: partial 16S ribosomal RNA
Rfam family: Bacterial small subunit ribosomal RNA
Source: RNAcentral